AGCGCUGCCCGUUCGCACGGCGCGGCUACGGGUGAACCCCGAAGCGAGACCCGUGUUCCGCGACGUCCGCGCAUCGCGUCGUCGUCGUCGCGGCCCUUGGGUUCCCGCUCGACCUCUGGGAUGCGGAAAACGCUACGGGCACGGGGUCCCCGACCCCUUUUUGCCCACGAAAUUGGCGUCACACGCCACGUUCGAACGACGUUCGGCGACGCACUGACGUGACGCGUCUUGCGGCCCGAUGUCCGUGAGGAAUGCUACCUGGUUGAUCCUGCA
This 273-nucleotide unclassified non-coding RNA is filed under the name Gynochthodes australiensis. RNAcentral describes it as "partial external transcribed spacer". Lineage: Eukaryota; Viridiplantae; Streptophyta; Magnoliopsida; Gentianales; Rubiaceae. The record is from RNAcentral.